RNAcentral lists this ribosomal RNA (434 nucleotides) under uncultured bacterium. Its description in RNAcentral is "partial 16S ribosomal RNA". It matches the Rfam family "Bacterial small subunit ribosomal RNA", at positions 29 to 507 of the family's 1533-position model. The record is from RNAcentral.
AGCGAACGCUGGCGGCAGGCCUAACACAUGCAAGUCGAACGAACCUUUCGGGGUUAGUGGCGGACGGGUGAGUAACACGUGGGAACGUGCCUUUAGGUUCGGAAUAACUCAGGGAAACUUGUGCUAAUACCGAAUGUGCCCUUCGGGGGAAAGAUUUAUCGCCUUUAGAGCGGCCCGCGUCUGAUUAGCUAGUUGGUUGAGGUAAUGGCUCACCAAGGCGACGAUCAGUAGCUGGUCUGAGAGGAUGAUCAGCCACAUUGGGACUGAGACACGGCCCAAACUCCUACGGGAGGCAGCAGUGGGGAAUCUUGCGCAAUGGGCGAAAGCCUGACGCAGCCAUGCCGCGUGAACGAUGAAGGUCUUAGGAUUGUAAAAUUCUUUCACCGGGGACGAUAAUGACGGUACCCGGAGAAGAAGCCCCGGCUAACUUCGUG